CGGUGUGGAGAAUGCAAAGAAUGCUGGUCAAAGUAGAUCAUUCAAACGGCUGAGCCUAAAGGAAGCCAGGACUAAUUCAAACUAAUAAAGGUGUGGUAGCCAGAUAGGAAACAGGAC
Prunus avium (sweet cherry) is the source of this 117-nucleotide non-coding RNA. The record is from RefSeq and is a predicted model, not a curated record. Lineage: Eukaryota; Viridiplantae; Streptophyta; Magnoliopsida; Rosales; Rosaceae.